UUAUUUACAAUUUUAUGGUUUGAAUGGAUAAACCCAUUGCCUACGUACCAUCACAAAGGUAGGAUCAAAACCUCGUAGUUCGGGGUAAAAAUCUCAAAAUAUGGGUGAAUUGAUUUGUCAAAAGCCUUAAAGUCUUUUGUUAUCAAAGGGAGAAAACUCAAUCUAAACCAACAAUCCACCGUGUGAGGAGAGCUUCAACAUACUAGUGAGGGAUCCACCCUAUAAUAAGUAUGGAAGACUUAUAGUCCAAUCACCGAGGAUAAGGUGAGGUUUACAUCAACCAGUAUGAUAACUCAAACCUAUGGCUAAUGUUUAUGAAAAAAGGUUUUAAC
Molecule: long non-coding RNA, 332 nt
Filed under: Lathyrus oleraceus (garden pea)
Lineage: Eukaryota; Viridiplantae; Streptophyta; Magnoliopsida; Fabales; Fabaceae
Description: Pisum sativum (pea) long non-coding RNA (PSAT_LNC024398)
Source: RNAcentral